CAGCAGCCGCGGGAAUACGGAGGGUGCAAGCGUUAUCCGGAUUUAUUGGGUUUAAAGGGUCCGUAGGCGGACUUAUAAGUCAGUGGUGAAAGCCUGUCGCUUGACGAUAGAACUGCCAUUGAUACUGUAAGUCUUGAGUAUAUUUGAGGUAGCUGGAAUAAGUAGUGUAGCGGUGAAAUGCAUAGAUAUUACUUAGAACACCAAUUGCGAAGGCAGGUUACCAAGAUAUAACUGACGCUGAGGGACGAAAGCGUGGGUAGCGAACAGGAUUAGAUACCCCAGUAGUCCCUGUCUCUUAUAC
RNAcentral lists this ribosomal RNA (301 nucleotides) under uncultured bacterium. RNAcentral describes it as "partial 16S ribosomal RNA". It matches the Rfam family "Bacterial small subunit ribosomal RNA", at positions 509 to 807 of the family's 1533-position model. The record is from RNAcentral.